AAAAAUAACGAUACGGGACUCAUCCGAGGCCCCGUAAUCGGAAUGAGUACACUUUAAAUCCUUUAACGAGGACCCAUUUGAGGGCAAGUCUGGUGCCAGCAGCCGCGGUAAUUCCAGCUCAAAUAGCGUAUAU
Molecule: ribosomal RNA, 133 nt
Filed under: Anillus sp. 1 CA-2016
Lineage: Eukaryota; Metazoa; Arthropoda; Insecta; Coleoptera; Carabidae
Description: partial 18S small subunit ribosomal RNA
Rfam family: Eukaryotic small subunit ribosomal RNA
Source: RNAcentral